RNAcentral lists this long non-coding RNA (289 nucleotides) under Elaeis guineensis (African oil palm). Its description in RNAcentral is "long non-coding RNA (EGUI_LNC020454)". Lineage: Eukaryota; Viridiplantae; Streptophyta; Magnoliopsida; Arecales; Arecaceae. The record is from RNAcentral.
AAUAUCUUGACUAAAUAAUUUAUAUAACAAUAUGGUUACAAUAAUCAAAGAAUAAUUUAUCAUUAAUCAGUGCACAAAUGUAAUCAAAUUUAUUUUUAAAAUAUAAAUUUAGUAAUAUCAGUAUCAUUCAAAUAUUCAUAUAUAUAAUCAUAUAUUUGAUUUCAAAAUCAAUCAUAUUCUAAAAUUUAAUUGGAAAUAAAUUUCAUUCAACCCAUCAGUCUUUAACUAUAAUCACACUUAUACUCUAUGGCCGAGUUAAAAUACCAUACUUAUAUUCUGUGGCCAGGCA